UGGGUCGGGACUGCUGUGCUGGAGAGACAAAACGCUGUUGGUAUCUCAGUGAUCUAUUGGUGAUUGAUAUAUAUAUAUAUAUAUAUGUUUCACGUGUGUGAGGAAGAUUAUCCCUGAACUAACAUCUGUGUCAGUCUUCCUCCAUUUUGUAUAUGGGACACCAUCACAGCAUGGCUUGAUGAGCAGUGUGUGGGUCUACACCCAGGAUCCCAACCUGUAAACCCCAGGCUGCCGAAGCGGAGUAUGUGAACGUUAAGUUCACUACACCACCGGGCCAGCCCCUGCGAUAGAUAUUCUCGCUUCAUGUAAACAGUUCACCUCUAGAAUGAGACGGUGGAUCUGAUGAAAUGAAACGCAGCUAUUGACGACAAGCCAAAUGGGCGAUGCAUCUGGCAGCUCUGUGAGGUGUGCAUCGGCAACCCUCUGCUCCGUGAAGGCGACACCUGCUCUUACUUUGCCCAGCUCUUCAAAGUGAAACGGACAAGCAGCUGUCAGGUCAGCCCCCCAUUGCAGAGCUUGAAGCCAUCAAGAGCAGUGAUAUAUUUGCCUUGUUCUGGGGGCAGGCUUUCUGCCGACGCGGGAGAUCACAUAAAUACCUUCAGACCAGCAUAUCUGAGUCGUCAAUCUGUUAUAAUUUCCAUUAAGUUAUCUCAGAGGUCUUCUCCAUCACAAGACAGCAAAAGCUGGACAUUUACUUCUUUAUUAAAUGCAAGAAGAUGCGCACGCCCUGCCUCGUCCCUGGUGUGCGUUUCUGUGGGGACCAGUGGAGACUCUCAUUCAACAUCAGUCAGCCUGCAAUCUUCUCAUC
RNAcentral lists this long non-coding RNA (808 nucleotides) under Equus caballus (horse). RNAcentral's name for it is "lncRNA (ENSECAG00000031097.2)". The record is from RNAcentral. Lineage: Eukaryota; Metazoa; Chordata; Mammalia; Perissodactyla; Equidae.